RNAcentral lists this ribosomal RNA (609 nucleotides) under Salmonella enterica. RNAcentral's name for it is "partial 23S ribosomal RNA". It matches the Rfam family "Bacterial large subunit ribosomal RNA", at positions 711 to 1233 of the family's 2925-position model. The record is from RNAcentral. Lineage: Bacteria; Pseudomonadati; Pseudomonadota; Gammaproteobacteria; Enterobacterales; Enterobacteriaceae. RNAcentral also lists the same sequence under 1 other name.
AGACCCGAAACCCGGUGAUCUAGCCAUGGGCAGGUUGAAGGUUGGGUAACACUAACUGGAGGACCGAACCGACUAAUGUUGAAAAAUUAGCGGAUGACCUGUGGCUGGGGGUGAAAGGCCAAUCAAACCGGGAGAUAGCUGGUUCUCCCCGAAAGCUAUUUAGGUAGCGCCUCGUGAAUUCAUCUCCGGGGGUAGAGCACUGUUUCGGCUAGGGGGCCAUCCCGGCUUACCAACCCGAUGCAAACUGCGAAUACCGGAGAAUGUUAUCACGGGAGACACACGGCGGGUGCUAACGUCCGUCGUGAAGAGGGAAACAACCCAGACCGCCAGCUAAGGUCCCAAAGUCAUGGUUAAGUGGGAAACGAUGUGGGAAGGCCCAGACAGCCAGGAUGUUGGCUUAGAAGCAGCCAUCAUUUAAAGAAAGCGUAAUAGCUCACUGGUCGAGUCGGCCUGCGCGGAAGAUGUAACGGGGCUAAACCAUGCACCGAAGCUGCGGCAGCGAACGUAUCACCCAAGACAACUUUACGGAGUUGACGAUUGACGGAGCGAAGCGACGUCAAAGCGUUCAUUAAAGUCGAGUUGGCUUAGGGAUACGUUCGUUGGGUAGGG